GAUGAACGCUGGCGGCGUGCCUAAUACAUGCAAGUCGAGCGAACGGACGCGAAGCUUGCUUCUCUGAUGUUAGCGGCGAACGGGUGAGUAACCCGUGGAUAACCUACCUAUAAGACUGGGAUAACUUCGGGAAACCGGAGCUAAUACCGGAUAAUAUUUUGAACCGCAUGGUUCAAAAGUGAAAGACGGUCUUGCUGUCACUUAUAGAUGGAUCCGCGCUGCAUUAGCUAGUUGGUAAGGUAACGGCUUACCAAGGCAACGAUGCAUAGCCGACCUGAGAGGGUGAUCGGCCACACUGGAACUGAGACACGGUCCAGACUCCUACGGGAGGCAGCAGUAGGGAAUCUUCCGCAAUGGGCGAAAGCCUGACGGAGCAACGCCGCGUGAGUGAUGAAGGUCUUCGGAUCGUAAAACUCUGUUAUUAGGGAAGAACAUAUGUGUAAGUAACUGUGCACAUCUUGACGGUACCUAAUCAGAAAGCCACGGCUAACUACGUG
This 497-nucleotide ribosomal RNA is filed under the name uncultured bacterium. RNAcentral's name for it is "partial 16S ribosomal RNA". It matches the Rfam family "Bacterial small subunit ribosomal RNA", at positions 28 to 507 of the family's 1533-position model. The record is from RNAcentral.